GAUGAAGAACGCAGCGAAAUGCGAUAAGUAGUGUGAAUUGCAGAAUUCAGUGAAUCAUCGAAUCUUUGUACGCACAUUGCGCCCUUUGGUAUUCCUUAGGGCAUGCCUGUUCGAGCGUCAUUUAAACCUUCAAGCUAAGCUUGGUGUUGGGUGACUGUCCGCUUCACGGCGGACUCGCCUCAAAAUUAUUGGCGGCCGGUACAUUGGCUUCGAGCGCAGCAGAAACGCGAACUCGGGCCCGUCGUAUUGGCUCCCAGAAGCUAUCUUCACAAUUUUGACCUCGGAUCAGGUAGGGAUACCCGCUGAACUUAAGCAUAUCAAUAAGCGGAGGA
RNAcentral lists this unclassified non-coding RNA (332 nucleotides) under soil metagenome. RNAcentral's name for it is "partial contains 5.8S ribosomal RNA, internal transcribed spacer 2, and large subunit ribosomal RNA". The stretch from base 1 to 120 matches the Rfam family "5.8S ribosomal RNA", at positions 35 to 154 of the family's 154-position model. The record is from RNAcentral.